CUGAUGCUAUUAUAAAUACUGGCAAAAAAAAACUUGAGGGGAAGAAAGGGUUCAUUUUAUCUCAUUGCUUAUGGUUCACCACUGAAGAAAGUCAGAGUAGGGACUCAAAGAAGAAUCCUGGAGGCUGGAACUGAAGCAGGAUCAUGGAUGAACAUUGUUACUGCUCAAGUCUUUCUUAUCUAACCCAGAACCAUGAGGCAUGGCCACUGGCCAACUUGAUGGAAGCAAUUCCUCAACUGAAGCUUCCCACCCUCACCCCGUGCCCCUGAGACCAUUUUUACCAUUGAACAUCACGAUUAUUUUGAAACCUACGACGGAAAAACAGAACCAAACUUAGAAUGGGAGCAUUAUUUCCAAAACCAAGG
Mus musculus (house mouse) is the source of this 365-nucleotide long non-coding RNA. RefSeq annotates it as predicted gene, 40255. The record is from RefSeq and is a predicted model, not a curated record. Lineage: Eukaryota; Metazoa; Chordata; Mammalia; Rodentia; Muridae. The transcript is spliced from 3 exons.